RNAcentral lists this unclassified non-coding RNA (497 nucleotides) under Hevea brasiliensis (rubber tree). Lineage: Eukaryota; Viridiplantae; Streptophyta; Magnoliopsida; Malpighiales; Euphorbiaceae. The record is from RNAcentral.
GGGAAGGAAACAGAGAGAAUAAGCAGGGCAGCGGAAAUGUCGGAGCCGAAAGACCCGGCAAUCAAGUUAUUUGGGAAGACGAUUCCUUUGCCAGAGAUCGCUCAGGGAGGUACUAGUUCCACUACUAAUACUUGUGGUGGUGCUGGUAGUUUCGUUGUUGAUGAUGAUAGUCAAGAUCAGGACCGUCCAUCUUGCGCAAGCUCUUCUCUCGAAGAGAGCAAUACGAAGGCAGAUGGGGAAGAGAGAGAAACUGAUAAAGAUGCAGUGGGAGAAAAACCAACUGAGAGUAGCAAACAAGAAAAUGGAGCCCGAACUAUUACUUCAGAAGAGUCAUCAAAUCCGGAUGCAACCUCUGGGGUAAGUGAGAAUCAUAAGAUGCCUUGUGUUGAGAAAGAGAAUGAUGCAUUAAAAACUUCAAAGAUAGAGGAAGAGCAGAGCGAUACAAGUAAUUCACAAGAAAAGACCCCGAAAAAACCUGACAAAAUCCUUCCAUGCCC